AAGAGGAUCACAAUACGAGGGAAACUUCAGCGGUGCUUUGGGUUGCCUCAUUGGGACGUCCAGGGAGUGCAUUAUCGGGCAUUUAACGCACGGACGUAUCAGAAGGGCUUCCAAAAUCCCCCUCGCACACUCGAGCAGCGACGACUCCCUCCGGUCCAUCACCCACCAGGUGCAGGGGAUGCAUCCAGCAGCCCUCCACCGUGUCUCCUGCACCAAGCCCGAGCCACUCGAGGGACCCGUGCGAGUAUUUUGAGGGGAAAAGCCGACUCCCGGCUACACCAGCAGGUACCGAGCUUGAGUCGCCCUCUUCCAGCGGUGGCCCGGCUGCGUGGAGGGCCACUGCCACCCUCUGGCCCGGCCGGGGACAGCAGGCUCCUCUCCGCCACCCAUCUCCCGGCGGCUGGGUGCAGAGCAGACACGGAUUUGCCGUUUUAUUUUCUGUUAAAAGGCUGGAUCUCCCGAUUCUUUACGCCUUACGAGUCAAUAUCAGAGCCCCGAUCUUCCACGGGUUGUUUAAACUCCUGUUGCAGCUGCAGCUGGGGAAUGAUGAUGUAGCUAAUUCUGCUCUGCUGGCUGGGAAUGUCACUCCUAAAUGAAACGGUCCCAAAAUUUUGAAGGAAAAGUUGCAUUAAAAAGCUGUAUUGUUAAAGGCAAAGUACCGUUUGAUAAGCAUUAGGUCAGGAAGCUUAUAUUUGACUCUGGAAAGCAAAACGUCCUCUACACAACCUUAUGUGUUAGAGAUUCUCCCAUACAAGUCUGCAAUCUGGAUCAAUUUAUGCAAUGUGGAAAAUAUAUUAAAUGAUUUGCUAAUGAGAAUACUGUAUUUGUGAGUAAGCACCCCCUUCCUGUUUACCACUGUCUUUGCUUGCUUACAUGCGACAAGAAAUGAUUUACACAGCCCUUACUGGAAGCUGUAAGGGAGAAGGACAGUAGAAUGCAGCUGUCACGUGGCAAAAGAUUGAGUAAGCUGUACAAACAUUGGCACCGAAUAUUAGUUGGAAAAUAGUUUUUUAAAUGUACUCUUUAAAAGCACCAUUCUACAAAAGGAUCGGUAUUUUCUGAAUCUACAGAAAAAUGGAAAUGUUUGAUGCUUGAAAUCCAGUUUAUCCACAUUAACAUCAUCCUCUCUCUCAAAUAGCCAUUUAAGUUGUAAUUCUAAAACAUAAGGAC
This 1170-nucleotide long non-coding RNA is filed under the name Anas platyrhynchos (mallard). RNAcentral's name for it is "lncRNA (ENSAPLG00020003696.1)". The record is from RNAcentral. Lineage: Eukaryota; Metazoa; Chordata; Aves; Anseriformes; Anatidae.